CAGGCCAUGGGCGGGGAAUGAGGAUUCAGUGGCCGCUGCCUGCGAAGGCCUGGGAUCUGGGGAGUCUGCCACGCGGCCAGGAAACCAAGGCUUGGUGGGACUCAGGAAUACUCAAGCCCUGCUGCUGGAAACAGGAAGAACCAGGCCUGACCUCUGCAAGGCUGACCUGUAAGUCCAGGACCUGUCUUUCUGCACCCCGUGCUCGGGUGUGAAUAUUUCCUGAGGGCCAGAGAGUGGCCGGUGCAGCUGUACUUUGAGGCCUGCAAGAAACCGACUGAGGUUGCAGAGCACAGCGAGUCAUCAUGCCAGGGGCUGGGCAUGGACUAGGCUGGGCCUGGGGUUGGGGUCCCUGCUCAGGACAAAUCCACUCGACCAACUUCCGCUUUUGUUCUUGUGUCCGGCAGGAGUUGGUGGUCUCUAGGGAGGACAAUGAGACUAAUUCAGGGCAAGGAGAGAACGCACCAAGCUCUGAGCAGACUCUGAGCGGAUCUCAGAUUCCCCACAGCUCCCUGGGCACAGCCGCCUCUGCUCACAUCCGUCCUCCUGCACAGGACAGCGCUUCCCAGCUUCUGCUCUUCAUCCACGUGGACCCUCACAGCAGCCGGAAGUGACGGAAACCUGGCUGCUACCACACUGCCCUGCAUUGGAAGCUGGAGCUGAGACUUCUGCACUCAGCAUGCAUCCAGCCUCUCACCGCUGUUCACCCUUGUGGUGCUCUCCUGGGUUCCCCACCGAGAGGUGCUUCCAGUGCUGUCCUUCCAGAGACGCUGCUGCUUGUGCGUGCACGUGUGUCCUCGUCCUCUGCCUGGCCACCCCACGGCCGCCAGCAACAGGCUGUGCCCCUGUUGGCUCACUUGGUGCAUCUUGGAGACUGCUCCACUCCAGAACCACACAUUGCCUGCCCCACGGGCCCAGCAGAGCUCCACGGUGCAGAAACCAGUCACGGAUGGACCGCAGCCUCUGGGGCCGAGGCGCCUGUGCCCUGCUCCGACCCCGUGGUCUGCACAGUGGGGUGGGCGGCAUCGCUCAGUGCCGAAAACACUGACGUCGCUCCGUGACCUGAAGGGAGCUUUGCUUUAUUCUGACUUCUGAAACCUGCUUCUUUGCUUCACCAAAAACAUGUAAACCUUUAGAUUGAAACAAUCAUUAAAGUAAAAGACACAUGGCCAUUACGGCCCCAGUUCCCCGCCACUUACCCCAUUGUUUUCGUCACUUUCCGAAGCCGUUCUGGAAAUCCUCUUCGGUGAGUGUUCGUGAGUUGGGAUAAACAUUCUGACGUAUGCUGCUGUCGACUGCCGUCCAGCAGAAAGGCGGGCUCAUAAAAACACCAGCGCGUGUCAGUUUUCAUCUUAUUCACCGGAACUGGCACCGUGCGACUUCCCUCUCUUCCCCAGUCAAAACGGCCACGAAAGGGAAACGUUUUGAAUCAAUUCAGGACAUCCAGGCAGCCAGGACAGCGCAACUGAGAACUGC
Non-coding RNA from Heterocephalus glaber (naked mole-rat), 1473 nucleotides. Lineage: Eukaryota; Metazoa; Chordata; Mammalia; Rodentia; Bathyergidae. The record is from RefSeq and is a predicted model, not a curated record.